RNAcentral lists this transfer RNA (61 nucleotides) under Cortodera humeralis. RNAcentral describes it as "tRNA-Ser". The record is from RNAcentral. Lineage: Eukaryota; Metazoa; Arthropoda; Insecta; Coleoptera; Cerambycidae.
GAAAUAUUAAAAAGCAAGCUUCUAACUUGUCCUUAAAGCGAUUAUUUUCGUUUAUAUUUCU